GAUGAAGAACGCAGCGAAAUGCGAUACGUAAUGUGAAUUGCAGAAUUCAGUGAAUCAUCGAGUCUUUGAACGCACAUUGCGCCCCCUGGUAUUCCGGGGGGCAUGCCUGUCCGAGCGUCAUUGCUGCCCUCAAGCACGGCUUGUGUGUUGGGCCUUCGUCCUCCUCCCGGGGGACGGGCCCGAAAGGCAGCGGCGGCACCGCGUCCGGUCCUCGAGCGUAUGGGGCUUCGUCACCCGCUCUUGUAGGCCCGGCCGGCGCUUGCCGACACAUCAAUCUUUUUUCCAGGUUGACCUCGGAUCAGGUAGGGAUACCCGCUGAACUUAAGCAUAUCAAUAAGCGGAGGA
Molecule: unclassified non-coding RNA, 345 nt
Filed under: soil metagenome
Description: partial contains 5.8S ribosomal RNA, internal transcribed spacer 2, and large subunit ribosomal RNA
Rfam family: 5.8S ribosomal RNA (bases 1-120)
Source: RNAcentral